CUUAUGAGCCUUAUUUUUCCCCCAAAUUCCUUAUGAAAUGCUUAUUACACAUAAGCCAUGAUGCUGCUGAAAGUCCUGUUUACUGCUGUGUCCAUGACAACAACCUGCUGUCUGCUCACUCUGUGACUACCUCAUUUCCGAGAAAAAAAUCAAUUCAGUGUUCCUGUAAAUCAGAUCUAUUCAUUUUCAACAGUUGGCUCUUUCAUCCUAUUAAGGACAGCUUUGUUAACUGUCCUGUGGCAUUCUUCGGCUAGCGGUUGACCUGGGAAACCAUCACAUUCUCACGAGGGCUCAUGGAUUUCCAGGGCUUGCUGCUCUGGAUCCCCUUUUCGUGGUUCAUGUUAGUUAUCGAGUAUUUAUUCAAUCCCCGGUUUUUCUGUUUAAUACUCUGUCACUCAGUGCAGCAGCCUUAGAUUCAAGCCUGCACUCCAUCCCGUGUCGACCCUCGAGCUUGCUGACCUGCACCCUCUGACACUCCUGAGGGCUGCCCUUCAAUACCCAUUCUGUUCCCUUUCAGUUGGGGUUGCCAUUGGGUUUUGUUCUUUACCCGAGACUCCCCUUUUUCCAAACAAUGGGCGGUGUUUAGUAGCAUCUUUUCACCAGGAAUGUAGUUAGCUUCUUCUGGGACCUAUGCGCCUCCCUAUUUCUUUUCCAUUACUGGGCUGAUUAAGCCCUGCCAGCCAGUUAUCAAUUAUUUCAUUAUCCCCUCCUUUCACUUUUCACACUCUGGUCUCAUGUGCUUGAGUUCUGACAUCCGCAACGUUACAGUAUCAUCACACCUCAUUACAUACUACACCAAAGUCCCUUUGCCUCUGAGUUACUUCUGGAAUGUUCCACUGUCUCAAAAAGAGUUAAAUUAAUAUCUACCCUUUUUUCUUUCAGACUCAGAUAUUAAAUUCACUAUGUGUUGAAGGCCACGAAGAAGUGCAGACAGUAUGCAUUUGUCUCUUAAUUUGAUCUUCUUGACUUCCACAACUUAUUUUAUAGAACCAGAAGUGACUUUGCCCUGCAAAGACCCUUGAAAAUUCAGGUUUCAGAAUCCCUACCGGAGUCGCCUGUGGAUUUGAUAGACUUCUAACUUUAACAUCUAGAGUUAAAAAGCACUAAAGAAAAGUGACUUAGGGCUUUAUUAUUUUGUGAUAUACUGUGAAAAACUUUGCUUAACACCAGAUCCAUAGAAAUUUCUGCGAAUUAAAUACUGGACAUUUAAAAAAAAAUUAAAGAUGCUCUCUUUAAAAAAAAAAGUAUUCUAGUCACAAAACAGCACAUGAAAGGUCAAAUACUGCUUUAAUUAAAGUUUAAAUUGAAAUUUCUUUUACAAUGGCAAAGCCAUUAUACAGUAUUCAUUUACAAAUAAAUCUCUGCUCCAUCCAUCAAAGAUCCACAUCUGAAAAACAUUUUGGAGAACCAGACAACAAUUUAUUAAUUUAUGCACACAACUACUGCAGUGGUUACCAUUGAUAAGUAAACUAACUUGUCCUGUCCUGCUAUUGGACCUUGUGUAAUAGCAUGGAUUGCAUGUACUGUAAUUUCUGCUGCUGUAUUUCAAACAUGAUGUAACACCGUGACUCCCUCACAAUGGUCAAUCAGUCUUGUGUGGCACUUUUGUCAACAUCAGGAAGCUGAAUUGUGAACAGGAUCUUGUUCUAAAUUCAAAAGCUAAACUUGCAAGAGAUUUCCAACUUUGUUGUUUAUCAUACACACUAGCUUAAUAAAAUACAAGCUAAUUUACAACUCUUUGUGUAUAUCUUUUUUUGUUAUAUAGACAAAUCCCCACAUUUGUAUUUAAGAUGUAGUCAGGCAUGUCUAAAACUUAAAAUAAAAAAAAUCUAACAUUCCUUCCAUAUUUGUCUUAUGGGUCAUUAAAUCUCAAUUAAUGUGAUCUUCCAUACUAUCAUCAAGCUUAGUGUGAUUACUGUGUUCCCGU
Molecule: long non-coding RNA, 1927 nt
Organism: Lepisosteus oculatus (spotted gar)
Lineage: Eukaryota; Metazoa; Chordata; Actinopteri; Semionotiformes; Lepisosteidae
Source: Ensembl